UGGGGAAUAUUGGACAAUGGGGGCAACCCUGAUCCAGCCAUGCCGCGUGAGUGAUGAAGGCCUUCGGGUUGUAAAGCUCUUUUGGCGGGGACGAUGAUGACGGUACCCGCAGAAUAAGCCCCGGCUAACUUCGUGCCAGCAGCCGCGGUAAGACGAAGGGGGCUAGCGUUGUUCGGAAUUACUGGGCGUAAAGCGAGUGUAGGCGGUUGCCGUAGUCAGGUGUGAAAGCCUUGAGCUCAACUCAAGAAAUGCACUUGAUACUGGGUGACUAGAGGACCGGAGAGGAUAGUGGAAUUCCCAGUGUAGUGGUGAAAUACGUAGAGAUUGGGAAGAACACCAGUGGCGAAGGCGGCUAUCUGGACGGUUACUGACGCUAAGACUCGAAAGCGUGGGGAGCAAAACGGGAUUAGAUACCCUGGUAGUCCACGCCGUAAACGAUGGGUGCUAGACGUUGGCGAGCUUGCUCGUCAGUGUCGCAGCUAACGCGUUAAGCACCCCGCCUGGGGAGUACGGCCGC
Molecule: ribosomal RNA, 517 nt
Filed under: uncultured bacterium
Lineage: Bacteria
Description: partial 16S ribosomal RNA
Rfam family: Bacterial small subunit ribosomal RNA
Source: RNAcentral